This 3903-nucleotide long non-coding RNA is filed under the name Piliocolobus tephrosceles (Ugandan red Colobus). Its description in RNAcentral is "lncRNA (ENSPTEG00000014166.1)". The record is from RNAcentral. Lineage: Eukaryota; Metazoa; Chordata; Mammalia; Primates; Cercopithecidae.
AUGAUGGAGCUUAAAGAUUAUCUACUAUUUAAUAAUGAUGUAUUAAAUGACUUAUCGUUUUUUGAAAAGGUUUUAACUUAUUAUAUAUUAAAAAAAUUAACGAAAUUGUUUUUUUUUAAAAACAGUGCUGAUUAUACUAUUGACAUAUGUUCUUGUGAGGAUUUUACUGUAAACAAUUUAUUUUAUUCAAAUUGUAUUAAUUUUUAUACCUUAAAAAAUAAGAAAACAUUAUUAAAUUUUUUUUCAAAAGUGGUACUAAAUGAUAGUACAAAAAAUGUACAAACUUAUAUUAAGCACAAAGAAUUAUCAGCAUACCGUGUGGCUAGCGCUUGGAACAUAUAUCUCAUAACUGUCUUACACUAUUAUUAUAACAAAAUAAUAAAAAAUAAAAAUAAGAAGAAGGUACCCAAAUUAAAAAAAAAAUUACCAAUUAAAAAACAAAACAAUAAAACAAAUUUUUUUACAAAUUUCUGUUCCUAUAUACUAUGUCUUUUACAUUACGAAAAUCAAAUUAUUAAAAAAAGGGACAAGGAAUUAUUUUUAUUUUUAUUUUUUUUUUUUUUUUCAAAAAAAGUAACAUGUAUAAAAAAAAACAAAAAAGAAGCAUGUUACUCUUAUCAAAAUGUGAAACAUAAGAAAGGAAAAAAAAAAAAAACAUUUUCUAAAAACUCAUUAAAUAAUUAUAAUACAACACAAUUGUUUGAACAUUUUAAAAAAUUAAACAUAACAAAUAUAAACGAUUUGAUUCAUAAUCAUUUAUGUCAUAUAUAUUUGUUUAAUGAUGGUCAAAGUAGUAACAGUAAUGUCGAUGUUAGUGACAUAAACAGUAACAACAACAUCACCAACGUAAGAGAAAACGUGACCCAAAACAAUACAAACGACCCAAAAUUUUACUUCAAAACAAAAAAACCCAAACAAACUCUAAUUAUUUGUAAAAAAUCUCUUUUUUUUUUUAAUAAAAUAUGUUUAAGCUAUUUACAUUUUUUAAAUGCACAGUGUAACAAUAAUCCAAAAUUUAUAUGUGUCAAAAAAGAUUAUUUAUAUAAAAAUAACAAAAAUUUAAAAAAUUUAAAAAAAAUUAAAAAAAAAAGUUAUCAAAAAUUUUUAUUACAAUAUAGCAAUAUACAAAAUACGAAUAUAAAGAACAAAAUUUUGUCUUUUUUUUUUUUGUCAUUAUUAAUUAAUCAAAACCAGUAUAAAAAAAACAUUUAUAAUUUUUCAAAAAAUGACUAUUACUCAUUUUGUAACUGUCGUCCCUAUUUGUUUAACAGACACACUUAUUUGUUUAAAAAAAGAAAAUAUUAUCCUUUAUAUAUAAAAAAAUAUUUAUUAAUUUUUUAUUAUACAUUUUUUUUUACGAAACAAAAAAAAAUCCAAAAAAUUAAUAUUACAACUCAUGCAACUGAUACAACUCAUACAAAUUUUAUUACUAAAAAACAUCGAGGUAAAGAUAAAGUACUAACACAACAUGCACAUAAAACAGCUUUAAACCCAUAUGAACAGAAAAAAAAAAAAAAAAAUAAAAGUUUUCUAUUUACGACAACAUGUAUAUAUAUAUGUCUCCUUUACAACAACAAUUAUUAUAAUUUGUACAAUUCUUUAAUAUAUUUGAUAAAAAAAAAAAAAAGUGUAAAAUUACAUGAACGAAUUAAUCACUUAAUAAAUGAACUACUAAAAAUAGACGCAAAAUGUGCAUAUAUAUGGAAUGUCAAAUCAUUUCUGUUUUACUCAUACAUUCAAAAAUACCAAAGAAAGAAUUUAAAAAUUAUCAAACAGUGUCAAAUAUGGGGGACACCCUUCAAAAAAGGUAUAUUAUAUAAACACACACAUUACAAUUUAUUAAUACCUGUUCAAUUUCGAACUUAUAACUACACGCAUAUUAGAAAAGUAAAAAACGAAAAACAUUUUGCAAGUAACAAUAAUAAAAAUAAAAUAAUAAAAUAUAUAAAUACAAAUUUUGACUUUUUUUUUAAUAUAAUAGAACUUAAAGCACAUAACUAUAUGGUUUCUUCAUACAUACAUACCUUUUAUACUGUGCUAACCAAUUUACCCACAAAAUAUUUUUUUACAAAAGAAAAAAAAAAAAAUUUCAUUUAUAAUGAAACAAAUCAAAAACAGCUAGAAAAAAAAUAUAUGACUCUUUUACAGAAAAAUAUGUAUUAUUACGCGUUACAUAAUUAUGUUCUCCUAUGUCAUAUACAACAAAUAUAUUACUUUAUUUUUACUCAAAUAAGUAAAUAUUUUUUAAUUAUGUUUAAAAAAAAUAUAUACUAUAAUUUUUCGGCUAUACAAAAUUUUACCACUUAUGUAAACAAAAAUGGAAAACGGUCGUAUAUGUUAUCAUCCACUCAAAGCAAAACAAACGGAAGAAAAAAAAAAAAAAAAAAAGUAACCUUUAAAGGUGAGUUAAAAAGAUAUUAUUUAUUUGUAAAGACUACUUAUGUCGAAUUUUAUUUAUUUUUAAAAAAAAGACAAAUUAGACUAUUUCAACUAACUGGGCUAACUAACCAAACGAAAGAAGUUAUCCCAAAUUAUAUAAAUAACAUAAUGACAAUUUAUUUUUUAUACAAAGACGUUAAAAAACAGAUUUUGAAUUAUAAAUCAGUUCCAACAGCAAUGUUAAAAAUACUUAACAAUUUUUAUAGUGAAAAAUAUUACAUACAUUUUUAUGUAAAUUGUUUACGAAAUAUAAUAUACUGUAUUUGUAAUAAUAAUUAUUACUUUUUUGAGCUAUUUUUUAAUUUUUUUAUUCCUUUUUUGUUAAAAAAAAAUAAACAAACAAAUGAGCAAGAACAAACAUUUUUUCAAAUAAAAGAAAAAAAAAAAGAGCAAAAAAAAGAGCAAAAAAAAGAGCAAAAAAAAGAGCAAAAAAAAGANNNNNNNNNNCAAAAAAAAGAGCAAAAAAAAGAGCAAAAAAAAGAGCAAAAAAAAGAACAAAAAAAAAAAAAAACAAUAAUAAUAAAAAAAAUGUUACAAAGUAUUGAUAAAUAUUUUUUUAACGAACUAAAAUAUCUUACAAAAAUGUUUACUAACUUUCAAUUGAAAUGUCAUGUCAACAGAAGUAAAUGUAUUAAAAUAAAAAAAACAACAAACAACUUUUUUAAAAAGUGGAACUCUUUUUCCUUAAAACAUAUUUGCUAUAAUUGUGCAAUGAAAAAAAAUAAAAAAAUAAAAAUUAAUGAAAAUAACAUUACUAAACAUUUUUAUAUUUUUUCUAUAGACAAAAAUAGUAUAGACACAAACUUAAAUAUUCGAAUUGCUUAUGAAAAAAUGGCAAUUAAAAAAAUUAUCGUAAGGGAUAUAACUACCUUUCCAAAAAAAAAUUCAAAAAAAGUUGAUAAUAUAUACAGACAUUAUUUUAUGUUUUAUAAAUGCAUAGUUAAUGUAAUUUACGAAUAUUCUUUGUAUAUACAUCGAAUGUUGCAAUGUUGUAGGUAUGUGGAUACAAGUACGGGUACAAGUACAAGUGCAGGUGCAGAAAAUGGCAAAAAAAAAUUUCGUAGUGUUAACACUAGUGGUAUUAGACCUAGUAGGAUUACCCCUAACAGUACGAAUAGAAAAAAAUACAAUAGUAACAACAACAUAUGUAUUAAUAAAAAUACCAUAAACAAUGGUAAUAACAAUAUUAGUAAUUUCAAACUAAUACAAAAUUACAAUAAAUUUAAUAUUAUAAAAAAUAGAAAUGUUAGUUAUUUUAAUUUAAACAUAAAACAAAGUUGUCAUUUAUUAUACAAAAUUUAUAAAGAUAUAUCAUAUUUUUUUAAAAUCAUGAAAAAAAAUAAUUUUACAUUAUUUUAUAUUAUAAAACAAUAUUUAUUUAAAAAAACAAAAAAAAAAAAAAAAAAAAAAAAAACUUUUUUUAACUUCCUUUUUUUCAAUUCAUUUUCUUAUAUUUUUAUGUGA